AUGUUGCAGAGAAGACUUGCCAUGGCCGAUCGCAGCAUGACCCUGCAGCUAGCCUUUGCGGCCAUCCUUCUCCUCAUCCUGUGCGGCAGCACCUGUAGCUCGCUGCAGUUCGCGUACCAGAGCUUCGACGCGGCCAGCGAGGCCGACUUCAGCUUCACCCCGGGCGCCACCAUCUCCAACCGCUCCCUGCAGAUCACGCCCGACGCCGGCGACAUGGCCCACCGGUCGGGGAGGGUCAUGUACGCCAGGGAGACCCUCAAGCUCUGGAAAAACAGCGAGCGCACGGCGCUCACCUCGUUCAAGACGGAGUUCGUGCUCAACAUCGUCCCCAGGAACGGCACCGGGGAAGGCAUGGCCUUCGUCCUCACCAACAACCCGGCCCUGCCCAGCGACAGCAGCGGGCGGUGGCUCGGCCUGACCAACAACCGGACCGACGGCAAGGCGGCUAACCGGGUCGUCGCGCUCGAGUUCGACACGCGGAGGAGCUUUGAGGCCGACCUGGACGGCAACCACGUCGGGCUCGACCUCAACGGCGUGCGGUCCGUCGGGCAGAUGCCGCUCAGCAACUUCUCCAUCGUCCUCUCCAGCGGGGCCGACGUCGAUGUCACGUUCGAGUACGACGGCAAAAUGAUGAGCGUCCUCGUGGUGCAAAGGGGGCUCGCCUUCACCUACGCCUGGUACGCCGACCUGUCGCGGUAUCUCCUGGACGACAUCUCCGUGGGUUUCGCGGCUUCCACCGGCGAGUUAGCCCAGCUGAACCAGGUCAAGUCCUGGAACUUCACCACGGUCGACGAUGCGAUCGCCGGAGGUGACGGUGGGUAUCGGUUGAGGCGCCAGAAGAUAUUUCUCGCCGUGCUGGUCCCGCUCACCGUCGGCGUGCUGCUCAUGGCGUUGCUCGUGUGGAGAAGGCUGACGCGGCAGACGAGGCUGGCGUACCGCAACCUCGAGAAGAUGAUCGACGCCCAUGGCCCCGUCAGGUUUAAGCUCAGGGAGCUCAGGAACGCCACCGGCGACUUCAGCGACGGCCGUAAGCUCGGCCGAGGCGGCUCCGGCACCGUUUACCUCGGGUAUCUGAGGAGGAUGAGCAUGGAGGUGGCCGUGAAGCGGGUGUCCACGAACGUCAACUCCAACCGCGGCGAGAAGGAGUUCGUGGCGGAGGUGAACACCAUCAGCAAGCUGUCGCACCGGAACCUCGUGAAGCUGAUCGGCUGGUGCCACAAGAAGGGCGAGCUGCUGCUCGUCUACGAGUACUUCCCCAUGGGCAGCCUCGACAAGCUCCUCUACGCCAGAGAGAGGGCCGCGUCGUCGACGUCGUCCAUGUCGGCGUCGACGGACACCCCGGAGCUCACAUGGGAGCGGCGGUACAAGAUCAUCCGCGGCGUGGCGUCGGCGCUGGACUACCUGCACCACGGGAGCAGCCGGCGGAUCCUGCACAGGGACGUCAAGGCCAGCAACGUGAUGCUGGACGAGGAGUACAACGCGCGGCUGGGGGACUUCGGCCUCGCCCGCGUCAUCCAGCACGACGGCGCCACGCACCACUCCACGCAGGUGGUGGCCGGCACCCGCGGCUACAUGGCGUACGAGAGCUUCUUCACCGGCCGCGCCAGCCUCGACACGGACGUCUACGCGUUCGGGGUCUUCGUCAUGGAGGUGGUCAGCGGGAGGAGCCCCAGCAACGCCGUGCAGUACCAGUACAUCCACGACAGCGACCACCGUGGCGGUGGCGAGGAGGAGUACUGGAGAGGCGGGCGAGGGCGACACCCCCCGCCGAUGCACAUCGUGGACUGGAUGUGGAUGCUGUACGGCGAGGGGAAGGCGCUGCAGGCCGCCGACCCGUUGCUCAGCGGCGAGUUCGAGCAGGCGCAGGUGGACUGCGCGGUGAGGCUGGCGCUGGCGUGCUGCCACCCGAACCCGAGGGAGAGGCCGUCCAUGAGGACGGCCGUGCAGGUGCUGAUCGACGGAGCCCCGGCGCCGGAGCCCCCGCUGAACAAGCCUGCGUUUGUUUGGCCUCCGGGUGGCAAUCGGCAGGAGAUGGAGCUGCCGGACGUCGGGCUGCUGUUCACGGGGGACGCCGGGCAGCACAGUAGUUUCUGCUCCAUGAGCUGUUCCAUCUCAGGGAGGUGA
RNAcentral lists this ribosomal RNA (2124 nucleotides) under Triticum aestivum (bread wheat). Its description in RNAcentral is "partial small subunit ribosomal RNA". Lineage: Eukaryota; Viridiplantae; Streptophyta; Magnoliopsida; Poales; Poaceae. The record is from RNAcentral.